Molecule: ribosomal RNA, 1445 nt
Filed under: Nocardiopsis sp. B10
Lineage: Bacteria; Bacillati; Actinomycetota; Actinomycetes; Streptosporangiales; Nocardiopsidaceae
Description: bacterial SSU rRNA
Rfam family: Bacterial small subunit ribosomal RNA
Source: RNAcentral
UUAACACAUGCAAGUCGAGCGGUAAGGCCUUCGGGGUACACGAGCGGCGAACGGGUGAGUAACACGUGAGCAACCUGCCCCUGACUCCGGGAUAAGCGGUGGAAACGCCGUCUAAUACCGGAUACGACCCGCCACCUCAUGGUGGAGGGUGGAAAGUUUUAUCGGUCAGGGAUGGGCUCGCGGCCUAUCAGCUUGUUGGUGGGGUAAAGGCCUACCAAGGCGAUUACGGGUAGCCGGCCUGAGAGGGCGACCGGCCACACUGGGACUGAGACACGGCCCAGACUCCUGCGGGAGGCAGCAGUGGGGAAUAUUGCACAAUGGGCGAAAGCCUGAUGCAGCGACGCCGCGUGGGGGAUGAAGGCCUUCGGGUUGUAAACCUCUUUUACCACCAACGCAGGCUCCACGUUCUCGUGGGGUUGACGGUAGGUGGGGAAUAAGGACCGGCUAACUACGUGCCAGCAGCCGCGGUAAUACGUAGGGUCCGAGCGUUGUCCGGAAUUAUUGGGCGUAAAGAGCUCGUAGGCGGCAUGUCGCGUCUGCUGUGAAAGACCGGGGCUUAACUCCGGUUCUGCAGUGGAUACGGGCAUGCUAGAGGUAGGUAGGGGAAACUGGAAUUCCUGGUGUAGCGGUGAAAUGCGCAGAUAUCAGGAGGAACACCGGUGGCGAAGGCGGGUUUCUGGGCCUUACCUGACGCUGAGGAGCGAAAGCAUGGGGAGCGAACAGGAUUAGAUACCCUGGUAGUCCAUGCCGUAAACGUUGGGCGCUAGGUGUGGGGACUUUCCACGGUUUCCGCGCCGUAGCUAACGCAUUAAGCGCCCCGCCUGGGGAGUACGGCCGCAAGGCUAAAACUCAAAGGAAUUGACGGGGGCCCGCACAAGCGGCGGAGCAUGUUGCUUAAUUCGACGCAACGCGAAGAACCUUACCAAGGUUUGACAUCACCCGUGGACCUGUAGAGAUACAGGGUCAUUUAGUUGGUGGGUGACAGGUGGUGCAUGGCUGUCGUCAGCUCGUGUCGUGAGAUGUUGGGUUAAGUCCCGCAACGAGCGCAACCCUUGUUCCAUGUUGCCAGCACGUAAUGGUGGGGACUCAUGGGAGACUGCCGGGGUCAACUCGGAGGAAGGUGGGGACGACGUCAAGUCAUCAUGCCCCUUAUGUCUUGGGCUGCAAACAUGCUACAAUGGCCGGUACAAUGGGCGUGCGAUACCGUAAGGUGGAGCGAAUCCCUUAAAGCCGGUCUCAGUUCGGAUUGGGGUCUGCAACUCGACCCCAUGAAGGUGGAGUCGCUAGUAAUCGCGGAUCAGCAACGCCGCGGUGAAUACGUUCCCGGGCUUGUACACACCGCCCGUCACGUCAUGAAAGUCGGCAACACCCGAAACUUGUGGCCUAACCCUUCGGGGAGGGAAUGAGUGAAGGUGGGGCUGGCGAUUGGGACGAAGUCGUAACAA